AGAACUCUGGAGAAGGAACUCGGCAAAUUGACACCGUAACUUCGGAAGAAGGUGUGCCCCUAGUAGGUGAAGUCGUACAGACGAAGCCCAAUGGGGUCGCAGAGAAUAGGUGGCUGCGACUGUUUAUUAAAAACACAGCACUCUGCAAAGACGAAAGUCGACGUAUAGGGUGUGACGCCUGCCCGGUGCUGGAAGAUUAAAUGAUGGGGUGCAAGCUCUUGAUUGAAGUCCCAGUAAACGGCGGCCGUAACUAUAACGGUCCUAAGGUAGCGAAAUUCCUUGUCGGGUAAGUUCCGACCUGCACGAAUGGCGUAACGAUGGCCACGCUGUCUCCUCCAGAGACUCAGCGAAGUUGAAAUGUUUGUGAUGAUGCAAUCUCCCCGCGGAAAGACGGAAAGACCCCAUGAACCUUUACUGUAGCUUUACAUUGGACUUUGAACAGAUCUGUGUAGGAUAGGUGGGAGGCUUUGAAGCCUGGUCGCUAGAUCAGGUGGAGCCAACGUUGAAAUACCACCCUGGUGUGUUUGAGGUUCUAACCUUGGCCCGUGAUCCGGGUUGGGGACAGUGUAUGGUGGGCAGUUUGACUGGGGCGGUCUCCUCCCAAAGCGUAACGGAGGAGUUCGAAGGUACGCUAGGCACGGUCGGAAAUCGUGCUGAUAGUGCAUUGGCAUAAGCGUGCUUGACUGCGAGACUGACAAGUCGAGCAGGUACGAAAGUAGGACAAAGUGAUCCGGUGGUUCUGUAUGGAAGGGCCAUCGCUCAACGGAUAAAAGGUACUCUGGGGAUAACAGGCUGAUACCGCCCAAGAGUUCAUAUCGACGGCGGUGUUUGGCACCUCGAUGUCGGCUCAUCUCAUCCUGGGGCUGUAGCCGGUCCCAAGGGUAUGGCUGUUCGCCAUUUAAAGAGGUACGUGAGCUGGGUUUAAAACGUCGUGAGACAGUUUGGUCCCUAUCUUCCGUGGGCGCUGCAAGAUUGAGAGAGCCUGCUCCUAGUACGAGAGGACCGGAGUGGACGCACCUCUGGUGUAUCGGUUGUCACGCCAGUGGCAUCGCCGAGUAGCUAAGUGCGGAAGAGAUAACCGCUGAAAGCAUCUAAGCGGGAAACUCGUCUCAAGAUGAGUCUUGCCGGGGCCUCGAGCCCCCUGAAGAGUCGUUCGAGACCAGGACGUUGAUAGGUCGGGUGUGGAAGCGCAGUAAUGCGUUAAGCUAACCGAUACUAAUUGCUCGUGAGGCUUGACCCU
This 1240-nucleotide ribosomal RNA is filed under the name metagenome. RNAcentral's name for it is "bacterial LSU rRNA". It matches the Rfam family "Bacterial large subunit ribosomal RNA", at positions 1695 to 2925 of the family's 2925-position model. The record is from RNAcentral.